CCUACGGGGUGCAGCAGUGGGGAAUAUUGGACAAUGGGCGAAAGCCUGAUCCAGCCAUGCCGCGUGUGUGAAGAAGGCCUUCGGGUUGUAAAGCACUUUCAGUGGGGAAGAAAGCCUUGGGGCUAAUACCCUCGAGGAAGGACAUCACCCACAGAAGAAGCACCGGCUAACUCCGUGCAAGCAGCCGCGGUAAUACGGAGGGUGCGAGCGUUAAUCGGAAUUACUGGGCGUAAAGCGCGCGUAGGCGGUCUGAUAAGCCGGUUGUGAAAGCCCCGGGCUCAACCUGGGAACGGCAUCCGGAACUGUCAGGCUAGAGUGCAGGAGAGGAAGGUAGAAUUCCCGGUGUAGCGGUGAAAUGCGUAGAGAUCGGGAGGAAUACCAGUGGCGAAGGCGGCCUUCUGGACUGACACUGACGCUGAGGUGCGAAAGCGUGGGUAGCAAACAGGAUUAGAUACCCGGGUAGUC
RNAcentral lists this ribosomal RNA (465 nucleotides) under Vreelandella stevensii. Its description in RNAcentral is "partial 16S ribosomal RNA". It matches the Rfam family "Bacterial small subunit ribosomal RNA", at positions 338 to 795 of the family's 1533-position model. The record is from RNAcentral. Lineage: Bacteria; Pseudomonadati; Pseudomonadota; Gammaproteobacteria; Oceanospirillales; Halomonadaceae.